CCUGACUGCCGCCUUCUACAAAAUCCCUGUCCUGCCCCGCCACUCCUACAAAACCCCUGUUCUGCCCCAUUUCUACAAACCCCUGUACUGCCCCCUUCUAAAAGCCCUGCACCCCCACACACGUGCAGACAGUCACACACCAACGUUCACUACAGAACCCUAACACGCAUACAGGACUGAGUAGAGAGAAUUGCAAUACCAAUCCUUAGAAUCAUCAGGUUAUGCAAAAAGAAUAGUCAAAACACGAGCCAAGGUCAAG
Pelobates cultripes (western spadefoot toad) is the source of this 259-nucleotide non-coding RNA. NCBI's taxonomy places the organism in Eukaryota, Metazoa, Chordata, Amphibia, Anura, Pelobatidae. The record is from the annotation of a GenBank genome assembly.